GCCCCGGUAGCUCAGCGGGUGGAGCGUCGGCCUUGUAAGGGAGGCUGCGCGGGGUUCGAGAAAGCCGAAGGUCCCGGGUUCGAAUCCCGGCCGGGGCUCCA
Molecule: transfer RNA, 101 nt
Filed under: Thermofilum pendens Hrk 5
Lineage: Archaea; Thermoproteati; Thermoproteota; Thermoprotei; Thermofilales; Thermofilaceae
Description: tRNA-Thr
Rfam family: tRNA
About the family: Transfer RNA (tRNA) molecules are approximately 80 nucleotides in length. Their secondary structure includes four short double-helical elements and three loops (D, anti-codon, and T loops).
Source: RNAcentral